RNAcentral lists this ribosomal RNA (207 nucleotides) under uncultured bacterium. Its description in RNAcentral is "partial 16S ribosomal RNA". It matches the Rfam family "Bacterial small subunit ribosomal RNA", at positions 568 to 774 of the family's 1533-position model. The record is from RNAcentral.
CUCGUAGGCGGUUCGUCGCGUCCGGUGUGAAAGUCCAUCGCUUAACGGUGGAUCUGCGCCGGGUACGGGCGGGCUGGAGUGCGGUAGGGGAGACUGGAAUUCCCGGUGUAACGGUGGAAUGUGUAGAUAUCGGGAAGAACACCAAUGGCGAAGGCAGGUCUCUGGGCCGUUACUGACGCUGAGGCUCGAAAGUGUGGGUAGCAAACA